GGAAAUGUCAUAACAACAGAGGCUCCAUCAGGGCUUACUGGUAGCCCACUACUGGAAAUCACAUGUCCCAAAUAUUUAACUUGAGAGAGAGAAAAUUGCAAUUUAUCUCUGGACAAUCUUUGUCCCUUAAAGCAAGCUGUUGUGACAAGUGGACAAUGUCUUCUCUGCCUGUUGUCAAGGAGGAUGAAAGUGACAAAUCAUCCACAUAUUGACCAGGAUAGUUCUGCUAGAAAAUUUGAUAUCAUGUAAAUGUCUUUUUAAUAUUUGAGAAAAGUAAGUAGGACACUUGGAAUAUCCUGAAGCAAGAUUGUCCAUGUGUACUGGUGAUUUUCUCAAGCAAAGGCAAAAAGAUAUUGGCUGUUCUGCUCUACAGAGUCAUAUUUGAAUCCUACUCUUUACAUCAGGGUUCAGGCAGCUGUCCAAACACCUUAUCUUUUCAUCUCUGACCAUUUCUUCAGAGUCGACUAUGAGCAGAAAUCACCCAGACACCCCACAGGAAUUUGUGGAAGUUCAAACUUAAGAAUGAUGAUUUAGGGUGCCUGAUGGAAGACAUUUUUAAGCAGGAAAGCAUUCAAGGUGUGGCCUCAGUGCUUCUAUACUCAGAUCCAGGAGCAAAGAAAUGACUUAAAGCUGGAAUUUAUGUUUAAACAG
This 651-nucleotide long non-coding RNA is filed under the name Homo sapiens (human). Its description in RNAcentral is "HSALNT0207661". Lineage: Eukaryota; Metazoa; Chordata; Mammalia; Primates; Hominidae. The record is from RNAcentral.